RNAcentral lists this ribosomal RNA (446 nucleotides) under uncultured Anaerolineaceae bacterium. RNAcentral describes it as "bacterial SSU rRNA". It matches the Rfam family "Bacterial small subunit ribosomal RNA", at positions 919 to 1382 of the family's 1533-position model. Lineage: Bacteria; Bacillati; Chloroflexota; Anaerolineae; Anaerolineales; Anaerolineaceae. The record is from RNAcentral.
ACCCGCACAAGCAGCGGAGCGUGUGGUUUAAUUCGUUGCUACACGAAGAACCUUACCUGGGUUUGACAUAUAGGUUGUAGGGAACUGAAAGGGACCGACCUUCGGGAGCCUAUACAGGUGUUGCAUGGCUGUCGUCAGCUCGUGUCGUGAGAUGUUCGGUUAAGUCCGCUAACGAGCGCAACCCUCGUCGUAUGUUAUAUGUGUCAUACGAGACUGCCGGUAAAAGCCGGAGGAAGGUGAGGAUGAUGUCAAGUCAGCAUGACCUUUAUAUCCAGGGCUACACACACGCUACAAUGGUCUGUACAAUGGGUAGCCAAGCCGCGAGGCGGAGCCAAUCCUGAAAGCAGGCCUCAGUUCAGAUUGCAGUCUGCAACUCGACUGCAUGAAGCCGGAGUUGCUAGUAACCGCAGGUCAGCAAUACUGCGGUGAAUACGUUCCCGGGUCUU